AGAAUUCAAGAUGAAAAACAAAAAUACAAAACAACUAAAAACUAUGCACAUAGGAAAAUGAUGUAUGAAGGAGAUUUCGGGCAGGGAAUGCGCAAGAACGGUCUAUGUGGAAAAGGAAACAGUGCGUUUCACACAAACGUCAGUUUCGUUUCAGCAAGGUUCUCCUCCAUCUCAACCUCAGUUCCUCUUUGAAAGGUUCCCCAGGCUCCUCUAACGAGAGCUAAAAUUGGUGAUUUCCACCAUUUUUUCAUUACCGCAACUGCUACAACUAUCCUUGAAAGAAUGGAGUAACCAAGAACAAAGGAAAGUAUGGUGGGAGGGAAAAGGGGCAAGCUUGUAGAGGUUAGACUUCUAUAGAGUUCAUUGUAUUAGGAGUGUUAUUUUGAGUGUUAGAACCUUCUUGUUGUUUCGGUUGUAUCAAGAAAGAAAUAGUGUAAAUGUAGAAGAGCUGCUGCAAAGGGGGCUAAAAAUGCAUGUAAAGUAUUUCAUAAAUUGUUGAAGAGAAAAUCACUAGCA
Long non-coding RNA from Carya illinoinensis, 516 nucleotides. RefSeq lists it as uncharacterized. Lineage: Eukaryota; Viridiplantae; Streptophyta; Magnoliopsida; Fagales; Juglandaceae. The transcript has 2 exons. The record is from RefSeq and is a predicted model, not a curated record.